Long non-coding RNA from Hyaena hyaena (striped hyena), 478 nucleotides. RefSeq lists it as uncharacterized. NCBI's taxonomy places the organism in Eukaryota, Metazoa, Chordata, Mammalia, Carnivora, Hyaenidae. The transcript is spliced from 3 exons. The record is from RefSeq and is a predicted model, not a curated record.
CGGCCACGUUCCGGGCUCUCAGUCGGAUCUGCCAAAAUCUGCAGGCUCCUCAGGCAGGGGGUCACCUGCUGACUCCCGGCGCCUUUCUUGGGUUUGGCGGGACCUGCGCUUCCUCCGGAGGCGACCACACUACGGUUAUUGGUAGCAAACCGUUGUCACCUGCGUGGCUGGUACCAAUUCCCCUGCCUCUGCCCCGAGAAAAUUCCACAGCCGUGAGACUCGAGCACACCCCACAAUUUGUGCUAAUUCUCCGGGACGUACCCUCCACUGUUUCCAAGUUUUUUCGACCUUGAAUGCUGUGUCUGUCCUCACCACGUUGAGCAAGCUUGACUGGACACCCCGCGGUCGCCUUUAAGAUAUAUGGCCCCUUGGAGUAUCAGGACGCAGAGGCCCGUUUCACUCCCCUGGGCUCCCUUUAUAAACAUCAUGGAAGAAAACUGCCUGAGAUGUUUGCUACAAAUGAAGUGUGUGAUCUUCU